RNAcentral lists this transfer RNA (74 nucleotides) under Laonastes aenigmamus (Laotian rock rat). Its description in RNAcentral is "tRNA-Val". Lineage: Eukaryota; Metazoa; Chordata; Mammalia; Rodentia; Laonastidae. The record is from RNAcentral.
CAAAAUGUAGCUUAAACAAAUCCAAAGCCUCUGGCCUACACCCAGAAAAUAUCACAUAAGAAUGAUCAUUUUGA